CCCCAGUGCAUAAUACCGUCUCACUGAAAAAUAGUAUUUAAGGAGGCAUGUGCGUGCCUUUCCCAGAGUUCCUCCCACAGCGUCCAUGAAUGCCUCCAGAAUAUGGACGAGCAAGAUCUCAGUCAGUCUUUGACAUCAUGCAUUCCAUACAGAUCACAAUGCAAUAUUUGAACGAAUAUAU
RNAcentral lists this long non-coding RNA (181 nucleotides) under Mustela putorius furo (domestic ferret). Its description in RNAcentral is "lncRNA (ENSMPUG00000031738.1)". Lineage: Eukaryota; Metazoa; Chordata; Mammalia; Carnivora; Mustelidae. The record is from RNAcentral.